AGUACCUCGAGAAAUCGUCCCGCAGAUCUAGGGUGGUCCGCGGGGAGGCCGUCAGGGAUGGACCGGAAGAAGAAGCUCGGAUGGCAGUUCAGACCGUCGUCGGCGCCGAGGCGGCGGUGAACGUGCUCGGUGGUGACGAAGGUGACGAGGAGACCCCUGAGGGAGAGCAGUCUGGCCAGCUUGAGCGUGGGUGAGACGUGGCCCAUCAGCGGAAGAGGGAAGAGGAUCACAUGCGGCCGCGGCGCCUCCAUGGAUCUCCCCGCCUAUCCCAGAUGGAUGACCUCUCGCAGAAAUCUCCUCUUCUAGGCCACAGCUUUGGGGAGGUUGAGAUGAGGCGUUGUGCCAGUUUAAUCUUGUAAAGGAAAUUGCUUAUAUAUCGCCAGAAAUCUCUCGAUUUUCGAAAACACGUCAUCUUUUUGCCCUACGUUCCAUGCAGGGAGGGUUAAAGCGCACUGUUUAUUAGCGACAAGUCCCUUGGUCGGGUAAGGGGAAGAAUUAUUCUAAAGUGUACUGAUUUUUUAUAAAAUAUUUUGAUUCGAUAUUUUUUGUUUUUGUUAACAUGAUGUUAUUUAAAUUUAUUAUUUCAAAAUAAAAUUUGUAUCUUGUAAUGUUACUAAAUUACCAUAGCAACGCUUGCUUAACAAGGAUAGAUCCCAGGUGAGAAGAUCAGGGACUUAUUCCUAUGUAGAGCGGUUCAUAGGUGGCUAUCGUUGAGUGACUAUUUCUAAAAUAAGAACAUUUUUAUCUCCUCCUUGAAAGCACUUCCUCUCACACCUCAGGUGAUGCAGGGUAGAAUACAAAGGGUAGAAUCUUAAAGAUUCAUGAGAGUUUUGUCAGAAAAAAGAAAUGUCAUUAUAGUCAGAAAUCUCCCGCAAUAAUAAAACAAAGGAUUGAUUGGUUUAAGAAAUAAGCUGACUAGGGUACCUAGAUUUAAUAUAUCAAAUAAAGUUUUAUCAUGGGGAAUAAUCAGCCGAAUACAAAAGGUAGCUAUCUUAUGGUUCUGUCAAGUGAUCGUGGCAAGAGAAUAUAUUAAAAGAAUAAUUGACUAGGUCACUGAUAAGAGAAGUUUAGAAAUUAUACUUAAGCCUUUGUAGGAUUUGUGAAUUCUUGAAGUUGAAUGUUGACUGGCCUGCAGUUGUUGACUGUUGACGUUGUUGAUUGUCGACUGUUGACUGAGUAGACCAGGCCAUCGGCUGUGGUGGUUUGCAGCUGAAGGGGCAGAACAGUGUUGGUCGGGAUGGCCAGAUGACUCAUGUCAAUAGAUUUGGGGCUACGGCUGGCUCAACAGGGAGAAUGGCGGUGGGCCGGCUGAAGUGGGCUAGGGAACUCAAGCCCACAAAUGAAAUAACUGUAGCUUUAAACGUGGCGAUAUCUAGCAGUGGGGAGAGAGGGAAACGGGAGGAGGCAACGACGGUGGGAGGCGAGGGCGGAGGUCGGCGGCAAACGGCAGAGGUAGGCGGUGGUAUAACAAGCCCGACAAUGAUGGGCCACGAAGAAGGGAUGGAAGCAAGCAGUGAUGGCUGCUGGAGGGGCUGCCGGUGGUGGAGAGGACGAUGGACAGGCAGCCACGGUGGAAGGGGAGGCGAUGACGGCGACAAUGGAAGGGUAUCGGCAGUAUUAGUGGUGCAAGGAGCAGAGGUUGGUGGUGAUAGAAGAAAAAGACGGGAGGGGGAAGGGUACUCCAGACCAAGAGUGGCAAGGUCCUCCAACCAACCCAAGUCAAGAUGACAAGAUCUGAUGAUCAAAUAAGGAAGAAACUCUUCAUCCCAUUUGUUGUCAAGCUAAAGGUUUGAGGGCCGAUUUAUAAGUCUCUCUACACAAAAUAAUAAAAAGUUAAUAAUAAAGAAAAUCUUCUAUUGUGGGACGUUUCUUUUGGCAGCAUGGAUCAAAGGUAACGUCCACACCUUCCACAAUAUUUCCUCCCUCGAUUUGAUUGGAUCUUUCUUUAGUUGAAGGGCAUUAUUCUCACCUUCUAUGCAUGUCGUUUCUUUGAAAUCACUUUCCUUGGUUAAUGAGCUCUUGAAGUGUGCUACAUCAUCAGGACAAGGAAGAUGAAGCUUCAAGAGGAGGAAAUCAAGCCAUUGAAGGUAUUUGACAUCUCCCCGAAACACCAGGGAGCCCUUCGACCCAUACAAGUGGUCCAAGGAGCUGUUGGAUUUUCUGCCAUACGAUCUACAACUCCUUGGUGUCCUCCCUCAUCCCCCACAUGGGAAAUUGUCAAAGCAGACCCAAUAAAUCAUCAAAGUAGUUACAUUCUCAAUGUAGAGGACCAAGAACACCAACAAUGCUCCAUGCCAUCAUUGGGCCUUAGUAACCUAGAGGACCAGUCAAACCAGAGGUCCAUGGAGUUAGGGAUCAGCGGUCAUGGCCUUGGUUAGGUUUUUAGUUGUGACCUAAAUUUAGAACUAAGUUCAGUUUGGUCAUUGUUUGAUUAGGAGCAAGAAAACCUUGACCUGACCUAUGACUUAUCUAAAUUUAAAUGCAUAUAUUUCUUCCUCUUUAUCUCUAAAAUAAUUGACUUUCUAAAACAUACAAAGUUAAUUGUAACAUCAAAUAAAUUUAGAAAAAUAAAAAAAAUUAGUUACAUAUAAUUUUCUUACAUUUAAAAAUAUCAAAAAUUCAAACCAUCUAAAUGAAAUAAAAAUUUUGAAAUCUAAACUAUUCAAAGUGGCCUUUGACUUCAAGAUAUACAUUGUCUUCUCAAGCCCAACACUUCAAGGUCAUGGGAAUCAAUGGUACUAAUGAUCGGCAAUGAAUAAGGUAAAAUGAAAACCAAUAGAGCUCCGAUGAAAUUGUCAACAAUUUAGUAAAUAUCACAUUUUAGUUCAACAUAAAUCAAGAUUUAAUCCAUAAAAAUAUGAACAAAUAUUUUAUUCAAAGUAGACAAUUUUUUUGUCAAAUAUUCAUCAUGGUAUAGAAGAGGAGAUAAUAUUCAAACUUGAGUAAGGAAAAGACAAUUGAUUCCCCACUCCAUGAGGGAAUUUAUGACCCUUUGAAUGCUCCCUUGAUCCUGAUCAAAGUGUUAGAGCAACAACUAGAGGGAGGAAGGGAUUCAGGGUUGAUGAUUAGAACAAAAUCAAAGAAGGAAGGAGAUAGAGAAAGAGAGUGAGGGAGAGAGCCUAAUAGAAGAAGACAUGGACCUAUGGUGCUAGAGAGAGGAACGAAUGGUGGCAGAGGAUCUUGUGAAGCUGAAAGAGGACACAUGGUGAGGGAGGAUAAUGUAGUAGUGGAAGGUCCUAUAGUGUUGAAGGAGGAGUGUGUAAUAGUAGAGGAGCCUGUAGUAGCUGAAGAUCUUGUAGUGGCGAAGGAGCAUGUGGUGCCAAAAGAGAAUGCAAAGAAAUGGAGGAUCUUAUGGUGGUGGCAGAAGAAAUAUGUGAUGGCAGUAGAAGAGAAGCAUGUAGUAGUGGCAAAAAACCUUGUUGAUGAGGGUGGGGAAAGAAAGAAUCUCUCUCUCUCUCUCUCUCUCUCUCUCUCUCUCUCUCUCUCUCUCUCUCUCUCUCUCUCUCUCUCUCUCUCUCUCUCUCUCUCUCUCUCUCUCUUUCUCUCUCUCUCUCUCCCUCUCCCUCUCUCUCUUGACCAUUGAAUCAUUCGAUCCUUCAAUCAUCAUUUUUUGACCAUAAAGACCGUGACAAAACCAAAAUCACAGUCAUAGCCUUUUUGCUUGACCAUCGAUCUCAAUUUUGGUUUGGUCAACUAAAUUUAGGUUAUGACCACUUAUCCCUACCUAGAGUCUCAUCACCAUUGAGAUGUCCCUUAACCUAUUGAUCCCUCUCGAAGUGUUCAUGGUAGGAGACCAUGCCGCUCUUUUUUUUUUCUCACUUUUGAACCACAUACCAAGGAGGAGAGGACCUCAUGUAGGUACAAGUGGCUCAUGCGCAAUGAUCAUUCAUCUGGUUUUGGGAAAUAAUCCAACCAAAGACAUCAUGAUUAGAGAUGUUACUACACAUAAUAUAUUAAUAUGAGAUAUUCUAAGCCUAUAGCUGAUCUAUAAUUGGAACAGGUUUGAUUUAUUCAAUUUUGAGUCCAAAUAUUAUAAAAAUUAUUACUUUGCCAAUUUUCAAAAAGUUAUGUAUGCCAUUGAUAAUAACCAACUUAAAAUUAAGAGUAAAUUGUACAUGCAUAUCAUAGAUUUCAUUUUAGUAUUGUGUCACAAGUUGACUAAGAUUUUUCUUCUCUACAUGGGGUUCUUCCUCCGUCACACAUGUAUGUGUGAUAUUCUAUAUUUGAUCAAAUGGUUUUGGUAUUUUUCUCAUUGCUAUCAUGGUUUUGAUAUUUUUUUCAUUGUUAUAAGAAGAGUUAACUUUCUUAUAGAGAUUAUAUUCAAAACAUGGUCCUACCUAGUCAUCUUGGCAUUGUUGUCACUCCAAAUGGAGAAUGAAGUACUAAAUAUGAUUGGCAGGUGAGUAAGUACCAAUCAUAGGAUAUGUGUUACACCUCGAAGGAGAUGUGGCAUUAGAUUACUCUAUUCCACUCUCCAGUCACCCUAUGGGACCCAAAAGGGUGUCUUGUUAUCUCUGUGAGAGUCCCCCCCUCCUUUCUUUUCAUGUUUGCCACCUUGCCUUUUGCUUACAUUGCUUGAUGGGGGUAGGCUAGCUGUUACAAGGGUGGGCUAGCCAUUACAAUUGGUCACAUGCUAGCCAUUGGUGUGCCUCAGUCAUCCCUUUGACCAUUUCGACAUGUCAUAGCAUGUGGAUCUACAUUCCUGUCAUAGGUGGGAGUGGUAGUCUUUGCACCUCCUCUUGUAGGUUGUCUCCUGCCACAUGAUGGGUCACGUGUUUGGGAACCCAUUCUUGUUUGGGUCUGCCUAAGCCAUGUGUGCCCAUUGUGCAACACUUGCACACACCCAUCAUGUCAGCUAUUCUUCAAACUCUCAGAUAUCAUUUUCUUUCUACUAGGUCAUCAUUUUUAAGUUGUGGUGACUGUCCUCAUUCAUAAACUUGUGAGAUAUGAGAUUACUAAUAUUCUUUAGGAAGGCUGAGCUCGCUAAGGGAGGUUGGCUUGUGGGCUGAUUCCUCUUCAGAUUAUCCAUAAGUGCCCUGUAUAUGUGAAAGAUAGGAUGGAUCAACAAUCUUAGAGGUAGUAGUAGUAUGUAUGCUACUGCACCAAUAUGCUCUAUAAUGGUGAAAGGACUUUCAAUUCAUGAAAGCAAAUUGUAAUUCUUCGUUGGGUCUCUCAUGCAUCUAUGGAUCUCUAGGUUCAUUCAAAGUAGCUCUAGAUCAUUAGGUUGGAAUUUGACCUCCCGUCAAUGAUUAGAUGUUUGCUUUUUCAUUCUAUUAACUGUUCAUUGGUGGUUGUGUUUAUGGUCUCUAGCAUCUCCAUAUGCCCUCCAACUAGUCUAGAAGGUGUGUGGCAUUGCCGAGGCAUGCCUAAUAGUUGAAGAGGCAUUAGUGGUUGGCACCCUGUAACUAGCUUGAAGGAGUAGCAUGUGACACUACUCUUUUAGAGGUUGCAUGCUAAUUGCAUUGUGUUCAAAAGAUUUGCCUAGUCCUCUUGUUUGGUCAAGAUGAACUGUCUGAGGUAUUCUUCCAAUAAUGCAUUGAGACAUUAUGUUUGACCAUCUAUUUGUCAAUAAUACGUCUUUGAGAAGUGGACUUGUGUUCUAAGCUUGGCAAAUAAGACAUUCUAUAAUCAUCUUGUAAACCAUGGAUCUCUAUCCAAGAUUAUCAUUUGGGGUAGGCCCAAAUUCUUCACCACAUUCUUGAACACCAAGUGUGCUGCCUCUUCCAUGGAACAAUGCUAAUUGGUGGGUACAAAGAUGCCGUACUUUGUGAACUUGUCAACAAUGACCAAGAUAGCACCAUAGUCUCCAUUCCAAGGCAAGCUUGUAAUAAAACCUAAGGUGAUCAUGUGUACCUCUAGGAUAGGUAAUGGUUGUAGCAGUCCUGUUUGUCGUCACUGCUCUAUUUUCUCCUACUACCAAAUCAAACAUGAUUCCACGUAGGCUUCAACAUCCUUCUCCAUCCUCUAGGAGAAGCCCCUACUCAGCAAAGCCAACAUUCACUAUUACCUUAAGUGUCCCAACCAUUGUGUGUCAUGUGCUUCUAUGAUCACCUUCCGCCAAAGGUCGCUUGCUGUCAAGAUGUAUAUUUACCACCCUCAUGUGAAGAUCAAGCCUAUAUCAAUCUAGUGUUGUCUCAUCAUCUCAUCCUUGAUGCGGGUCAAGAGCUUAUUGGUGUGCAUGUCCUACUUGGAUGUCAUCUUAACUUGAUGGAGGAGGUUUGCCAAGGGGCUUAGCAUUUAGUUCCAUCGCUGCUCAAAGUGUUGGUGAUCACAUUUUAUGCCCCUAGUUUGUGAUGAAUAAUGAAGUCAUAAUCCACCAAGAAUUGAUGAUAUCUCACUUGCUUCCCUAUGAACUUGGGCUACGAAGAGAAAUAGUGAACUAGUUUCUCAAUAAGUACUGUCCCCACAUUCGUAGAUAAUUGAUAAUUGAUGUCAUCCCCUUGUGCUGCAUUGGACAAUUUUUUUUUAGUGUUCAAUUUAUGACUAUCAAAGGCCACUAGGUGACCCUCCUAGCUGAGUACUCCUCCCACAACCUCACUGUUGACAUCCAUGUGCAAUACAAAAAGAUUGCUAAAUUUGGUAACUUUAGGGGGUUUUCCAUUGUGAUUGCUGUCUUGAUCUUGUUUAGAGCUUCUCCAUAUCUAUUUGCCCAUUGCCAUGGCUCAUCUUUCCAAAGGUUCAUUAAGGGGGUUACCACCCGCGAGAAGCCCACAAUGAAAAGUUAAUAGUAAUUGACCAAGCCAAGGAAUGUCCUUAAACCCGUAUGUUCCAAAAACAUAACCCUCUUUGUGCCCCGGGACGGGAGUGGGGGGCAGCCCUAUGCGCAGGCAAUAGCAGCACCGGCUCUACUUUUUUUCUUUGCAUUGGUUGGUGUCGGCCACUCCUUGAUAGCCUUCACCUUGGAGUCAUCCAUUUGAACCUUCCCAACCCUCCUAUGAUGUGUCCAAGGAAGUUCACUUCCUUUGUGGCAAAUUUGGACUUUACAAGGUUGAGAUACAAGUUGUUAUUCUCAAUUAACUCAAGUAUUGUGCGGAGGUGGCCUUGAUGCUCUUGAAUGUUACAAUUGUAAAUGAGGAUGUCAUCCAUAUAUAUCGCGACAAAGACUUUUAAAUACAAUUAAAAUAUGGGGAUCAUUAGUAUGCAAAAUAUGGUCAAAACAUUGGUGAGUCCAAAAGUCAUCACUGUAAAUUCAAACGAGCUAUAUAGCAUUACACAAGCUAUUUUAGGCUUGUCUUCUUCUCUAAUCCACAAUUGGUGGUAUUUGCUCUUCAAAUCUAGUUUGGAGAAGACCCGAGCUGCCCCAAUCUAUCUAACAAAUCUUCAACAUUUGGGACUAGAUACCAAUUACAUAUUGCAAGCUUAUUGAGACCUCUAUAGUCAAUGCACAACCAAAUAUUUAUGUCUUUCUUUUUCUAAAACAGCAUUGUUGCUCUGAAUGGUGACUUGGAUAGUCAAAGGUGUCCCAACUGUAGCAUACUAGGGGGUUUGCUCCCAUAACUGACUCUAUAGCAUGGUCCACCCCUCUUCUCAACAGCAGCUCUAUGAGUAACUUCUCCGAUAGCCUAUUAACAAAUUUGAUUAGUAAUUGUUAAAUUUCAUUUGGGGUAUUCAUAUGUUUCUCCUACCUACAAACUUGAACAUAUAGUAGAAAAAAAAAAUUCCCCACUUUCAAUCCUUUUUGUACCUGUUGAGUCGAGAUAGUUGCUUCCCAUGAUUCAUACUUCCUUGCCGAUGUUACCUCUAUAGUUGGCACAAAGUAGGGAGGGCUGCCUCCUAGAAUUGCUACUCUGUUUGAGAAUACACCCACUUGAACCUCUAUAAGAAAGUUAAUUUCCAAUAUGGUGUCAAAGGAAGUAGGGAACAUUACUAUGUAGUCGAGGUGGCCAUCCCACAUGUCGACUUUUGUGUGUACCACUUUGGCCACUCCCAUUAGUGGCUAGGCUGAUGAGAUUACGACCUUGAACUUUGUCUUUGUAGGUUCUACCAUCAAGCUGAGUCUCUAAGCUUCCAUCACGGCCAUGAAAUUACUAGUGGUGCUGCUAUCUGCCAUUACAACCAUCAAUUCCUCAUCCAUAUGAGCCUUGAUGUACACCAACUUCUUCUUGGGGUCUGGCUUUAUGGGCUGUAGGCAGUUGAUGAUUUGAAAAGAAUUUAACUCAACCUCCUCUCCUCCCUCAACCUUACAUUGGUCCACCAUCAUGUUGAGGUGAGAUUUCUUGCUUCCCAUGUGGUAAUUUCAUUUGUGGUGUGGUCCUUUACAGUUGAAGUAGCCCACGUUUGGGGGUUUGCCUAGUUUCGUUGGUUGGGAUAGUUCAGGCAGCAGUAGGGUCGGAGGUCCCAUACACCCUCCCCCGUCCCCCAGAUCGUCCUCCCAUGUGGCUUCCGCCACGGUUGGCUUGAGUGUCUUCUUGUGUUCACUGGGGACGGCGGAAAUCUUUCAAGGAUUCCACUGUCUUUUAUGCAGCGUCCAUGGUAGUUGCAUUCCGUCUUUGGAUCUCUACUCACGCCCACAGCUGCAGCCUGACGAGGAAGAACUGGAGCCGAUUCAUUUUGCCCAUCUCCUGGAUGUCAAGCAUCAACGUCCUAAUUUCUAGAUGUACUCUUGCAUGGACCCUAAUUGCUUCAAUAUUUUCAGUUCCUUGAUGACAUCAUCCUCCCGCAUGGAAGGCUUGAAAUAAUCUCGAAAUCGGGCCUUGAACUCUUCCCACGUUCCGACUGUCACACUCUUCUUGGCCCUCCACCACAGUGAAGCUGCAUCCGUGAGGAACUGGCUCAUGAUGCACGGUCGGUCAUUGUCCACGACUUCAUCGUCAUCCAAGUAGUUAUCUAACUCCCAAAGGAAAUGGUCUACCUUUGACGUGUCGUACUUUCCCGCGAACGUCUUGAGUGAGGAUAGCGCAGGGCACCUCCGGCUGCUGGCCUGCCCACUGCUCCCUCAUCGGCAGAGUUCUUCUCUCAGGGUGCGUAUACCCAUUCACAGCUCCUCCCCCCAGUGCUGCUCUACCCAACUUGUGUUACUCACGGACACCCUUUGCAGCUCCUCGAAUCUUCUAUUUGUGGUUCAAGUGUGCUCCUUGAGUUAAUCUUGCAGCGUGGUGAGGCGUUGCUCCCACCUUGACAAGGACUCCUCUAGUAACUUCUCCAUCAACUGUAAGGCUUGUCGUGUUGAGUAGAGCUCCUGCUCCAUCCUUCCAUGGCUCUGAUACCACUAUUACACCUCGAAGGAGAUGUGGCAUUGGAUUACUCUGUUUUGUUCUCUAGUCAACUUGUGGGUCCAAGAAGGGUGUCUCAUUAUCUCCGUGAGAGUCCCCCCCUCAUUUAUUUUUCCAUCCACCCCCUUUCCCCUUGCUUGUAUUGCUCGGUGGGGGUGGGCUAUCUAUUACAGGGGCAGGCUAGCCAUUAUAGUUGGUCGCUGGCUAGCCGUUGGGGUGCCUCAGUCAUCCCUCCAACCAUUUGGAUCUACCAUACUAGACGGAUCUACAUUCCCAUCAUCGAGUGGGAGCGGUAGUCCUCACACCUGCUCUCGUAGGUUGUCUCCCGUCACGUGCUGGGUCACAUAUUUGGGAACCCAUUCCUGUCUGGGUCCGCCCGAGCCAUGCGUGCCCACUGUACUGUGCCUGCGCACGCCCGUUGUGUCGUGUGUGCUGGCCGUCCUAUCACUUACCUCGUGAUAAUACUACUUUGCACUUAUGAAGUACGAGGUUAUCAUGGGUUAGGAUCAUCCAGUAAAGAUAGAUGGUUAUCCUAUGAUCGCUUAGUGACAACCAUAAAAAGAAUACAUUAAUUGAGCAAUUGAGAGACUCUGAAUGCAGAUGUUGAUCAUUGACCUUUUGAAUAAAGGGUUGCCCUUGACUCAUGGCUGAUAGUUGUUUGUCAUUGACAUUUGAUCACACAGUCGGGGUGGCAGGCGUGGAUCACCCGCGCGAUGGAACGACGCCGGCUUGGACCGGGCCAGAGGAGAGUGGUACGGUAGUAAUGAACCGAACCGGUUCGGCCCGUAGCUCGGGAAAGAAUUCGUGCGAGAAUGGAUGGUGGCGGGGGCACUGGCGGCGGCAGUGAGGCGGUCGGCGAUGGGGACAGACGAUGGCGAGGAGGACGACGAUGGCAGGGGCGAAGAAGGCGCUGGGUGGUGAGGCAGAACAGCGACGGUGGGAAUAAAGGUGAAUGGGCAAGAUGAAGGAUGAAGAGGCUAAGCUGUCCGCGACGGUGGCGAUGGCGGAUGCGGAGGGAAGGGCGGCAGCGGAUGAGGAUGGCGAUGAACGGUGGCGGCGGCAGUAGCAAUGAAGGCGGCAACGGAAGUAGACCUGAUGUAGCAAAUGGUGAAGGUGAUGGAAAGGCUGGCGGCCGAUGGACGACGAUAGACGAGAGGUGGACGAUGGUUGAAGGAUGGCUGCCGGAUAACAGGUGGACGACGAAGGUGGCGGAAGACGAAGGCGCCGGCGGACUUGCGACCAUCUCCAUAGAGGAGCGACGAACACAGCUAUCAAGGUUUCCUACUCAAGGGCGAGGUCAAAGCUAUAUAUAGCCCCAAAUCAGGCCGGGCUGGCUUAGUUCAUCUGCCUGGCCCAUUACAGUUAGAAUAGGCUCACGUCCUGCGUCACUUCCCCACGAUGUGCCGAAGGUGGUCGUUCGUCAUUCAGCCCGGCUGGCCAGUGGCGCCACCGCCUCUGCCACCGCCACAGUCCUCCACAUCAAUUCUCAGCCUCAGGUUCACACUCUCAUUAAAAAAUGAUUCACACUACUCUACUUUUGUUGAAUAUAGGGUUCUCGAUGACUUUUCUUUACCCCAAAGAUCCGUCAUAAAGAUGAUUUUUCAGCAAGUGGGUUUGGGAGUCCUGUCAUUUUGAAAUUUGUUACACUUGGACAUUGUAGAAUGCGAACAUAUCUUAUUUGUAUAAGUGUGGCAUUCCUUUUUUUACUAUUAUACAUAUCCAAAGUGUACCCAAUCGACUAGUGGUGACUAAGAAAUAAAAAUAUUAGAGAAAAUACUUAAAAUGACGCCAUUCUCCGCCUUUCUUUCUUGGGUACCAAAUACUACUUGACCUGAGUCUAAUCGAUGUGAUCGUUGACAUUUGUAUAGACCAGCGUCAAACUAAUCCGCUCGUGACAGGCUGGCAAAACCAAGGAAUAAUGGACAAUAACGUUCCCCAAACAUAGAUCACGGAAGACACUAAUUAUCGCGGCUUAUGCUGGAUUUAGUUUCCGGGGGACGUCUCCAGACUCAGGGCCCGAAUAUCCUCAAUCAACUGGUCCAGCUGGAUGCGGGAGGAACCACCUUCAUCGACGCACUCCUGCAUCACCUCCGACAGUCCAGCGAUGUUCCUCCUCAUGUCUUCGGCCCUUUCUCCUUCCAUCGCCUCCUUCACCAUCCUGCCCACGGUUUCUCUGUCGCAGGUGUCCUUCAUGUCCACUCCGAUCCUCCACACCUCGCUGAUGAACCUGCUGUUGACCAUCUGAUCGUAAAAGAAAGGCCAGCAGAUCAUCGGCACGCCGGCGGAGAUGGCCUCGAGCGUGGAGUUCCACCCGCUGUGCGUCAGGAAGGCCCCCACUGCCGGAUGGGCCAGCACCUCCCGCUGGUCCACCCAUCCCACAAUGUACCCCUUCUCCUUGGUCGCCUCCGCCAACUCCGCCGGCACCUCGCCGGCGCCGUCCGUCUCCUCCAGCAAGUCGUGGCGGAUGACCCAGAGGAAUCUGUAGCCGCUGUUCACCAGGCCGUGCCAGAACUCCAGGAUCUGGUGCCUGGUCAGCACGAUCAGGCUGCCGAAGCUGACGUAGACGACGGAUUUGGGGGGUUGGCCGUCGAGCCAGGUUACGCAGGUACGGUCCUCUCGCCACCACCCGGGGGGGGGGAGAGGCUGACGGAGUGUCGGCGGCCCUCCCCGUGCGACGAUCCAGUGCGCAGAGGAGGGUAUCGAGGGGCCCGACAGUAUAGGUGACGGGGCAGGUGGACCGGAUGUGAGCGAGCACAGCGGCGUCGAGGGGCUCCCCGGUGUUGAAGAUGAGACCUCUGUAGCGUGUUGUCCUCUGUGUCGCUGAUGCCAUUCGUACGAGAAGAGGAUCUUCCGGGUCUUUGGCUCGGCAGAAACCCGGAAGGUCUCGCCGCCUCAGAAAACUCUCCAUCCCAGGGACGCUUUUCACGAGCUCGUCCAUGUCGCAUCCUUCUGUGGCGGAGGAAACGAGCUCAAAUGAAACACGAGUGGAUUUCCGCGGAAUACGCUUAAUUGUGAAGGCUUCUCUCACCGGGGAAGGAGAUUUCCCCUGCUUCGAUGAGCUUCGGGAUGCAGAAAUAAGCCCAGAAGCUGCAGGGGCCGCUGGUGCGGAAGGCAAUGACCGGAAUCCCCUGCUCUUCUGGCACCUCCGCCGCAAACGGCAGAAGCCCGUCCACGAUGGCGCACGUCACCGGCCACCGCUCGCCGAUGGAGACCAACAUAUCUCGGUAUGUCUCCCGGGACUUUGUGACAAGCGAGAAGACCACCUCCGUAAAUCGUGCCGCAGAUCUCGGGUGGUCCGCGGGGAGGCCGUCAGGGAUGGACCGGAAGAAGAAGCCCGGAUGGCAGUUCAGACCGUCGUCGGCGUCGAGGCGGCGGUGAACGUGCUCGGUGGUGACGAAGGUGACGAGGAGGCCCCUGAGGGAGAGCAGCUUGGCCAGCUUGAGCGUGGGUGAGACGUGGCCCAGCAUUGGAAGCGGGAAGAGGAGCACAUGCGACCGCGGCGCCUCCAUGGAUCUCCUCGCGCCCUUCACAG
This 12744-nucleotide long non-coding RNA is filed under the name Spirodela polyrhiza (greater duckweed). Its description in RNAcentral is "long non-coding RNA (SPOL_LNC001525)". Lineage: Eukaryota; Viridiplantae; Streptophyta; Magnoliopsida; Alismatales; Araceae. The record is from RNAcentral.